ACGGAAGGCAGCAGUGGGGAAUCUUGCGCAAUGGGCGAAAGCCUGACGCAGCAACGCCGCGUGGGGGACGAAGGCCUUCGGGUUGUAAACCCCUUUCAGCAGGGACGAAAAUGACGGUACCUGCAGAAGAAGCCCCGGCCAACUACGUGCCAGCAGCCGCGGUAAUACGUAGGGGGCGAGCGUUGUCCGGAUUUAUUGGGCGUAAAGAGCUCGUAGGCGGUUUGGCAAGUCGGGUGUGAAAACUCCGGGCUCAACUCGGAGACGCCACUCGAUACUGCCAUGACUUGAGUCCGGUAGGGGAGUGCGGAAUUCCUGGUGUAGCGGUGAAAUGCGCAGAUAUCAGGAGGAACACCGGUGGCGAAGGCGGCACUCUGGGCCGGUACUGACGCUGAGGAGCGAAAGCGUGGGGAGCGAACAGGAUUAGAUACCCUGGUA
This 435-nucleotide ribosomal RNA is filed under the name uncultured Acidimicrobiales bacterium. Its description in RNAcentral is "bacterial SSU rRNA". It matches the Rfam family "Bacterial small subunit ribosomal RNA", at positions 341 to 792 of the family's 1533-position model. The record is from RNAcentral. Lineage: Bacteria; Bacillati; Actinomycetota; Acidimicrobiia; Acidimicrobiales.